AAUGAACGCUGGCGGCGUGCCUAACACAUGCAAGUCGUACGAGAAAUCCCGAGCUUGCUUGGGAGAGUAAAGUGGCGCACGGGUGAGUAACGCGUGGGUAACCCACCUUCGAAUUUGGGAUAACUCCGCGAAAGCGGUGCUAAUACCGGAUAAGACCACAGCCGUUUCGGCGGCAGAGGUAAAAGCUGACCUCUCCAUGGAAGUUAGCGUUCGAAGACGGGCCCGCGUCCUAUCAGCUUGUUGGUGGGGUAAAGGCCUACCAAGGCAGCGACGGGUAGCUGGUCUGAGAGGAUGAUCAGCCACACUGGAACUGGAACACGGUCCAGACUCCUACGGGAGGCAGCAGUGAGGAAUUUUGCGCAAUGGGGGAAACCCUGACGCAGCAACGCCGCGUGGGUGAAGAAGGCUUUCGGGUCGUAAAGCCCUGUCAGGUGGGAAGAAACUCUUCAGCACUAAUAAUGCUGAAGCCUGACGGUACCACCAGAGGAAGCACCGGCCAACUCCGUG
RNAcentral lists this ribosomal RNA (507 nucleotides) under uncultured bacterium. RNAcentral's name for it is "bacterial SSU rRNA". It matches the Rfam family "Bacterial small subunit ribosomal RNA", at positions 29 to 507 of the family's 1533-position model. The record is from RNAcentral.